RNAcentral lists this ribosomal RNA (1192 nucleotides) under Salmonella enterica. Its description in RNAcentral is "partial 23S ribosomal RNA". It matches the Rfam family "Bacterial large subunit ribosomal RNA", at positions 437 to 1495 of the family's 2925-position model. Lineage: Bacteria; Pseudomonadati; Pseudomonadota; Gammaproteobacteria; Enterobacterales; Enterobacteriaceae. The record is from RNAcentral.
UCUGAAUAUGGGGGGACCAUCCUCCAAGGCUAAAUACUCCUGACUGACCGAUAGUGAACCAGUACCGUGAGGGAAAGGCGAAAAGAACCCCGGCGAGGGGAGUGAAAAAGAACCUGAAACCGUGUACGUACAAGCAGUGGGAGCCCCACCACCAAAGCAUUUGCUGUACCGCGUUGACGGAGCGAAGCGACGUCAAACCGAUAAAACAGCAGUGUAAAGUGAGCCGCAGGGCGCUUUGCGCGACAGCGCAAAGGCAGGCGGUUUCGCGUAGCGAAAGCGAAUGCUUUGGGGUGGGGUGACUGCGUACCUUUUGUAUAAUGGGUCAGCGACUUAUAUUCUGUAGCAAGGUUAACCGAAUAGGGGAGCCGGAGGGAAACCGAGUCUUAAUUGGGCGUUAAGUUGCAGGGUAUAGACCCGAAACCCGGUGAUCUAGCCAUGGGCAGGUUGAAGGUUGGGUAACACUAACUGGAGGACCGAACCGACUAAUGUUGAAAAAUUAGCGGAUGACCUGUGGCUGGGGGUGAAAGGCCAAUCAAACCGGGAGAUAGCUGGUUCUCCCCGAAAGCUAUUUAGGUAGCGCCUCGUGAAUUCAUCUCCGGGGGUAGAGCACUGUUUCGGCUAGGGGGCCAUCCCGGCUUACCAACCCGAUGCAAACUGCGAAUACCGGAGAAUGUUAUCACGGGAGACACACGGCGGGUGCUAACGUCCGUCGUGAAGAGGGAAACAACCCAGACCGCCAGCUAAGGUCCCAAAGUCAUGGUUAAGUGGGAAACGAUGUGGGAAGGCCCAGACAGCCAGGAUGUUGGCUUAGAAGCAGCCAUCAUUUAAAGAAAGCGUAAUAGCUCACUGGUCGAGUCGGCCUGCGCGGAAGAUGUAACGGGGCUAAACCAUGCACCGAAGCUGCGGCAGCGACACUGUGUGUUGUUGGGUAGGGGAGCGUUCUGUAAGCCUGUGAAGGUGUGUCGUGAGGCAUGCUGGAGGUAUCAGAAGUGCGAAUGCUGACAUAAGUAACGAUAAAGCGGGUGAAAAGCCCGCUCGCCGGAAGACCAAGGGUUCCUGUCCAACGUUAAUCGGGGCAGGGUGAGUCGACCCCUAAGGCGAGGCCGAAAGGCGUAGUCGAUGGGAAACGGGUUAAUAUUCCCGUACUUGGUGUUACUGCGAAGGGGGGACGGAGAAGGCUAUGUUGGCCGGG